Zonotrichia leucophrys gambelii is the source of this 1846-nucleotide long non-coding RNA. RefSeq lists it as uncharacterized. The record is from RefSeq and is a predicted model, not a curated record. The transcript has 3 exons. Lineage: Eukaryota; Metazoa; Chordata; Aves; Passeriformes; Passerellidae.
GAAGGUUUUGGGAACUGAGGGAUUGACAAUAUUCCCAGGUUGGGAAGGUUUUGGGGGACAGUUAUUUGCAAUAUCCCCUGGGCUGGGAUGAUUUUUGGGGGCUGAGGGAUUGACAAUAUUCCCCAGGAUGGAAAUUGAGGGAUUGACAAUAUCCCCAUCCCAGGUUUGGAAGGUUUUUGGGGACUGAGAGAUUGACAAUAUCCCCCAAUCUGGGAAUUGAGAGAUUUGCAAUAUCCCCCAGGCUGGGAAGAUUUUUGGGGUAAUUUAGGGAUUGACAAUAUUCCCCUGGCUGGGAAUUGAGGGAUUUGUAAUAUCCCCCAGGCUGGGAAGGUUUUUGGAACCAAGGAUUUUCAGUAUCCCCCAGGUUUUCAGGAAUUGAAGGAUUGACAAUAUCCCCCAGGCUGAGAAGGUUUUUGGGAACGAGGGAUUGGCAAUAUCCCCAUCCCAGGCUGGGAAGGUUUUUGGGAAUGAGGGAUUGGCAAUAUCCCCAUCCCAGGCUGGGAAGGUUUUUGGGAAUGAGGGAUUGGCAAUAUCCCCAUCCCAGGCUGGGAAGGUUUUUGGGAAUGAGGGAUUUGCCAUAUCCCCAUCCCUGGGUGGGGGUGAGUGGCUGUGUCUCCCCCCAGCCUCCCCCACCCACCCCAGCAUUGUGCUGGGGGUCAGAGCGGGAUUUUUCACUUCAGAUGGGUUUUCAGAAUGAGAUUUUCGUGCUGCUGCCUGCGACUGGCCCAGCUCCUCCCUCUGCAGAGCUGCAGGAACAUCCCCAGGCUCUCCAUGGGCUCCUGGCAUCCCCAAGGCCACCUUGGGCCACCACUCCCCUCCUCCCCACGGCCCUUUCCAAGCAUUUGCAGGCAAAUCAGAGCUGCUGGAGAAGGGGGGACCAUCUGCUGCUCCCUCUGCUGUCCCCCACAGCCUCCCUUUGCUCCCCAUAGCUCAGUUAAGCACGUAGGUGUUAGCAAACUCUGGGCUGUCUGCAAAACCUUUUGUAAAAUAGAAUAGAUCUUUAAAUAAUGCACUAAAAUAAAAAAAAAUAAAUUAAAAAAUCCUAAAUGCCUCCCCACCCCAGUCAGCUUCUCUGUGUGAUGGUUCCUUGGAUGUCCCUGCUCAGCACAGGCAGCUCUGCAUCCUCCCCCCAGGGUGCUGCACAGGUAGAAACAAACCAGGACGUGCACUUCCCCACCCCCCCGAGGAGUUUUAUUUAUUGUUUUGAGAAGCAAUUUAAAAGGGAAAAAAAAAAAACACAAAAAAAAAAAAAAAAGGGAGAAACUGUAUCUAUAAUAUAUAUAUAUAUAAAUAUAUAUAUAUUUUUAACCUGUUUUUUUUCCUGAUGCUCCUCCAGCCGUGUGUGUGGGUGUGUGUGGGUGUGUGUGCGAGUCAAGGGAUUGGGCACCGGGGCAGGAGCAGCGGGACCGGCCCCGGGAGGGGAGGGAGGGAUUAUUUCGACAAUUUGUGAUGUUUUAACCGCGAUUUUCAGCUAAUUCCACCUUUUCUGAAGUGUUUGCACCCUCGGGGUCUGGCCUGGCUGGGAACCCCCCAUGCCCUGUCCCAUUCCCUCCCUCCCUCCUCCCUUGACAAUCAGUGGCUCCUUCCCAGGGACUGCAGCACGUGGUUGAGACGUCGAUUUUCGUUUUUUCAAUAUUCCUUUUUUUGUGCUGUAUGGUGAUGCGUUAUUGUAUAUUCCACAAUAAGGAGAAAAAAAAUAUAUUAAAAAAAAUGAUGAUAAUAAUAAUAAUAAUAAUUACCAUGAGAAAUUCUUAUGAGUUUUGUUUGGAAACUCUUUCACUAUAUUUGUUGUAAAGAGGUUUACUAUUAAAAAGAAAAAAAAAUACACGUUUCUGAUAAUUUUCCA